RNAcentral lists this long non-coding RNA (144 nucleotides) under Dermacentor andersoni. Its description in RNAcentral is "uncharacterized LOC126519713". The record is from RNAcentral. Lineage: Eukaryota; Metazoa; Arthropoda; Arachnida; Ixodida; Ixodidae.
GCUCCCUCAUGCAGACUCUGCAAGCCAAGAGGCCGUGGAGGCAAAUGCAGGCAGCCAGCACACCUCGAACAGCCACCUUGACUGUGGGUGUGUCAGUAGAUUCCUGUUGUACAUAUGCUCAUAAUAAACUUCAGUAAACUUGAA